UCUUCCCUUCCCCUCCCCGCGGUCGCCUCCGUUUCGUCGCGCCCGCCGCCUCCGCCCCUUCCUCUGCCUCCACCACGAGGCCUCUGACGCGCCGCCUCCAUCGCGAGGCCUCCGCCUCAUGGAGUAGAAUUAGGGCGAAGGCGGCGGGCGCGAAGGGUGGGGAAAGGCGAAGGUGACGGGUACGACGGGCAGGGAAGGGGCGAAGGCGGCGAGGUGGAGGCGUCCUCUCCGCCCCACGGAGCAGAGAAAGGGCGGAGUCGCCGGGGGAGCGAAGGCGGCGAAUAAUUUCGGGAUGGAAAAAACGAAAACAAGGGCACUAUCGGAAAAGAAAAGAAAAGAAAGGGGAGCUUUUUCGUAAAAAUCGCCCUUAUGUCAGAAGUCCCGUGACCGCUCCUCUGCCCCUUAGCCGCUCAAACCCUAAGCGUGGCCCUUUUUUUCGUUGAUCAGAUCUCCUCCUCGGCGCCUUUCCCAUGGGUACCCACCACCGCGACGACUGCGCCGAAAACGGUGGCGACGACAACGGCCAUCUGGCGAAGCGGCCGCGGCCGGCAUCUUGCCCCAUCUCCGCUGCCGAGAUCGCGGAGGAGUUCGCCCACCACGACCCCUCCGUCGCCCGCAUCAACAACGGCAGCUUCGGCAGCUGUCCGGCAUCGGUCCUGGCUGCCCAGCUCCGGUGGCAGCGGCUCUUCCUCCGCCAGCCCGACGAGUUCUACUUCCACCGCCUCCAGCCUGCACUUCUCCGCUCCCGCAUCCUCGUCAAGGAGCUCAUCAACGCCGCUGACCUCGACGAGGUAUCCCUCGUCGACAACGCCACCACCGCCGCCGCCAUCGUCCUCCAGCACGCCUCCUGGGCCUUCUCCGAGGGCGGCUUCCGCAAGGGCGACGCCGUCGUCAUGCUCCACUACGCCUACGGCGCCGUCAAGAAGUCCAUCCACGCCUACGUCGCCCGCGCCGGUGGCCACAUCAUCGAGGUGCCCCUCCCCUUCCCCGUCUCCUCCAACGAGGAGAUCGUCCUGGAGUUCCGAAAGGCCCUGGAGCUCGGGAAGGCCAACGGCCGAAGAGUCCGCCUCGCCGUGAUCGACCACGUCACGUCCAUGCCCAGCGUCGUGAUCCCCGUCAAGGAGCUCACGAGGAUCUGCCGCGAGGAGGGCGUCGAUCAGGUGUUCGUCGACGCUGCCCACGCCAUUGGUAGUGUCGAGGUCGACGUGCAGGACAUCGGGGCCGAUUUCUACACGAGCAAUCUCCACAAGUGGUUCUUUUGCCCCCCGUCCGUGGCGUUCCUAUACACCAAGAAGUGUUCCGCCUCCUCCCGUUUGCACCACCCCGUGGUCUCCCAUGAGUACGGCAAUGGCCUCCCUUUGGAGAGCGCAUGGAUCGGCACCAGGGACUACAGUGCUCAGCUUGUGGUGCCCUCAAUGAUGGAUUUCAUCGGUAGGUUUGAGGGUGGAAUCGAAGGGAUCAGGAAGAGGAACCACGAGAAGGUGGUGGAGAUGGGAAAGAUGCUGGCAGAUGCAUGGGGGACGUUUCUUGGAUCUCCCCCGGAGAUGUGCUGCAGCAUGAUCAUGGUUGGUUUGCCGGGAUGUUUGGGGAUUUUGAGCGAGAAGGAUGCAUUGAAACUAAGGAGCUUGUUAAGAAAAGAAUUCAAGGUCGAAGUUCCGAUUCACUAUCAGCUGCCCAAGGAUGGUGAGGUCGUCGAAAAGGACGGGAGCAGUACUGUCACUGGGUACGUAAGGAUUUCUCAUCAGGUGUACAAUAUGGAAGGUGACUACCAUAAACUUAGAGAUGCAGUCCACAAGCUGGUAAAUGAUGGAUUUAACUGCACAAUGUUUCCAUCCUAAUGAGAAGCAGGAUUACAGUUUGUAGUGCACUACCAUGCUGGGUUGCAGCAAAGUAGAAUUUGGAUUCAGGCAACCAACACCAACCACCAAUACAAAAUGCAGGCGUAGUCAAAUAAGUCAACGACAAGGUGCCCUAGAGAAGGAUUUAAUGUGUCUAUUACGAGGGCGGUAUGGUAUCUAUAGAGAAGCUUCUUUCAGAGAAAGUUAAAAGAGUUGAUAUGGUCCAUUUGGUUCUUAUAAUUAAUAUCAAUCAAAUUAAACA
Molecule: RNA transcript, 2100 nt
Organism: Musa acuminata AAA Group (dessert banana)
Lineage: Eukaryota; Viridiplantae; Streptophyta; Magnoliopsida; Zingiberales; Musaceae
Gene name: putative L-cysteine desulfhydrase 1
Exons: 3
Source: RefSeq, a predicted model, not a curated record